This 253-nucleotide ribosomal RNA is filed under the name uncultured bacterium. Its description in RNAcentral is "partial 16S ribosomal RNA". It matches the Rfam family "Bacterial small subunit ribosomal RNA", at positions 524 to 776 of the family's 1533-position model. The record is from RNAcentral.
UACGAGGGGAGCUAGCGUUGUUCGGAAUUACUGGGCGUAAAGCGCACGUAGGCGGUUUUUUAAGUCAGAGGUGAAAGCCCGGGGCUCAACCCCGGAAUAGCCUUUGAAACUGGAAAACUUGAAUCAUGGAGAGGUCAGUGGAAUUCCGAGUGUAGAGGUGAAAUUCGUAGAUAUUCGGAAGAACACCAGUGGCGAAGGCGACUGACUGGACAUGUAUUGACGCUGAGGUGCGAAAGCGUGGGGAGCAAACAGG